Prionailurus viverrinus (fishing cat) is the source of this 1278-nucleotide long non-coding RNA. RefSeq lists it as uncharacterized. Lineage: Eukaryota; Metazoa; Chordata; Mammalia; Carnivora; Felidae. The transcript is spliced from 3 exons. The record is from RefSeq and is a predicted model, not a curated record.
UCUGUGGCCAAGGAGCAGUGGGCAAGGGGCUAAGGGGAGGGGGGCCCAGUGCCAGCCGUUUAAAAAUGCCCCGUGGCGGUAAGGGGUGCCAGAGGCCCGGUCAAGUUAGUUGAGAAGCAGUGACGCCCCCAACCGUCCCCUAAAUGGGCUGCCCCCCGUGUCCGGGCCACAAGGAGCCACACCUGGACCAGACCCCAGGAGAGGCAAGGGCACUGGCCGGUGGGAGCCACUCUUGCAACGCUGACAUUGGAUGAGCAAGCACCCCAGAGAGGGCCUCCUGAGGACCAGAGAGGAGGGCAGGCGGCAGAGGCCCUGAAAACAGAGCUCCUCCCCGGAGCUUCCCAAGAAGACAGAGGCUCCCCCGGGCUGGGCUUGGCGACAUUUCCUGAAGACAGUAGGGAGCAGUGAGGGGAAAUUGGCCCGUUUCUGGGAGCAACGCCGCAGAUUGCCAACAGCCGGCACCAGGUAAGAAUCCGCCCGCUAUGAGUCUAAGGCCACCUGCUCAAGUGUCUCCUUGGACACAGGGGAAAGGGAGCCACAGAGAGGGGAAGCACGUGGGAGAAGUGACCACACCGGUAGAACUCAGGUCUCCCAAAUGGCCCGCUGUCUCCUGACUGGGGACCAAGAGUAAGAAGGAGCCUCUGGUGGGGUAAGUGGAAUAGGAGGGCUGUCGACCUCCUUCUCAUCUGAAGGAGACCAGGAGUCAGGGCCAGCACUGUCUGCCUGCUGGACAAGUAAGAGAGACUCAAGGGAAGAGUUCUUGGGCAAGAGGACACGCUUCCUGCAUCUCUGCCCCUCCUCCCAGCCUACCACCUCCUCCUCCAGGAAGUCCUCCCAGCUCCCCGCCUGAGGCGGGAACCUCUUUGUCCUCUAAGACCUUGGCAGUCCUUUCUUAGGCUGUCUCUGGUGCCACUUGGAUCUGUGCCCUAUUCACCUUGCCAGGGACAUUCUUCUUCCAUUUUAGCCUGACUGCACUCCUCCAGGGCAAGGACAUCAGUCCCACCUCCCCUCGGCACAUAGAAGUCACCCUAGGCUUGCUAGAUGGGGAGGUGAAAUGGUGAGACCCUGUCUCAAACCCAAAGGAUUGGUAAAUUGGCCACGGGAGGAGACAUUCGGCAUAGAGGUUAAGAUGAGGGAGCCGGGGUUGGCUGUUCUGAGUUAGGAACCCAGCUCAGCUCCUAACUCCGUGGCCUUGGAAAAUUCCCUUCUCACAGAGCCUUGGGGAUACGAGGGGAUUAGCACAAUUAAAACAGUCAACAAAUGACUGCUCUUAUUACA